RNAcentral lists this ribosomal RNA (549 nucleotides) under uncultured bacterium. Its description in RNAcentral is "bacterial SSU rRNA". It matches the Rfam family "Bacterial small subunit ribosomal RNA", at positions 355 to 895 of the family's 1533-position model. The record is from RNAcentral.
UAGGGAAUCUUCGGCAAUGGACGGAAGUCUGACCGAGCAACGCCGCGUGAGUGAAGAAGGUUUUCGGAUCGUAAAGCUCUGUUGUAAGAGAAGAACGAGUGUGAGAGUGGAAAGUUCACACUGUGACGGUAUCUUACCAGAAAGGGACGGCUAACUACGUGCCAGCAGCCGCGGUAAUACGUAGGUCCCGAGCGUUGUCCGGAUUUAUUGGGCGCAAAGCGAGCGCAGGCGGUUAGAUAAGUCUGAAGUUAAAGGCUGUGGCUUAACCAUAGUAGGCUUUGGAAACUGUUUAACUUGAGUGCAAGAGGGGAGAGUGGAAUUCCAUGUGUAGCGGUGAAAUGCGUAGAUAUAUGGAGGAACACCGGUGGCGAAAGCGGCUCUCUGGCUUGUAACUGACGCUGAGGCUCGAAAGCGUGGGGAGCAAACAGGAUUAGAUACCCUGGUAGUCCACGCUGUAAACGAUGAGUGCUAGGUGUUAGACCCUUUCCGGGGUUUAGUGCCGUAGCUAACGCAUUAAGCACUCCGCCUGGGGAGUACGACCGCAAGGUU